CACCAGAGGGUGCAAUAA
Molecule: transfer RNA, 18 nt
Filed under: Natrix natrix (European grass snake)
Lineage: Eukaryota; Metazoa; Chordata; Lepidosauria; Squamata; Natricidae
Description: partial transfer RNA-Ser
Source: RNAcentral